Molecule: long non-coding RNA, 1116 nt
Organism: Pygoscelis adeliae (Adelie penguin)
Lineage: Eukaryota; Metazoa; Chordata; Aves; Sphenisciformes; Spheniscidae
Exons: 2
Source: RefSeq, a predicted model, not a curated record
UUCCAGCCUUGCCCUGUAACACGCUACUGGACACAGACCCUUCACCUCUUUCUCUGGAGCUCUACGGCAGCCACCAGCACAGAGGGAGGAGAAAUCACCCCUACGGAUAUCUGGCUGUGCAAUGAAGUUAACAAGUACAUGCAAAAAACAACCCCCAGUUCUGCGCAGGACCCCCGACUUUGCUGCAGUAGCACUGGAAAUUGGAGCAAAGACUGGGAGCAAGCUAACCUUCCCUACUGGCGACAGAUCCAAGCCACACAGUUUGGAUCCAGACCUCCCAGAUGCCAGAGAGCUCCACCAGUGUGGCAAGACUUUUUUCUUAUUAUACAGUUGCCAGCUAUAGUAUCUGCCACCCUCUACAGCCAUUUGAUGUGCAAAGAAGCUAUCCUGCCAAUAACAUGCUGUUUCUUCAAUCUGAUGCAACACAUUUAAAUCAGGUGUGUAAAUAGAAAGUCAACGUUCAAAAGCCAGCCUGAAGCUAUUAAGCAACAAGAGAGAUUUCUUCAUAUGAAGAUUAUUUUAAACACAGAAUUUAAAAAACAUGAGAUGGGACCCAGACAAGCAACUUUGCAAGGGAAAGCCCUCUCUUCAGAUGCCACGCAGCAACACUGAAGUGCUCUCCCACCAAGGUUUCUUUCAUCGUAACCCGGAAUGGUAACCUCAGACAUGGGGUGGCAGCUUAUCUUCAGUGGCCCCUUGAAUGCCCCCCCUUCCUGUUGACACUCAUCCUUUGGGUGGAGUCUUCAAAUGAGUUAUCUCCCAUGCACAAAGAGAUUAAAAGCCAGCAGCCUCCAGUGAAAGGCUUUCUAUCCUCUAUGCUAUGCUCCCCUGGGUAGCUUGCAAUACCUUCAAAUUUCCUAUAUGGCAUCUUCAAAGAUAAAUGAUUUAGGGGGAUUUUCACACAGUCAGAAUCUGCCCUGCAAGUACCACCACAGCUUUAUCCCUGCUGUUGUAAGAAACUGCAUGCAUACAUAUAGCUAUGGACUUUUCCCUAGACAAGGUGAUAUACAUCUACAUAAACCCUAAACUUAAAAAUGGAAACAAAACCAGUUUAAUACACAAAAUCCAACUAAGUGACAAUCAUACUCUACAGAAAAUAAAUCUUCUUGUUUUGGA